Molecule: long non-coding RNA, 7139 nt
Organism: Cydia pomonella (codling moth)
Lineage: Eukaryota; Metazoa; Arthropoda; Insecta; Lepidoptera; Tortricidae
Exons: 2
Source: RefSeq, a predicted model, not a curated record
GUAUCGAUAUAAGAUAAUCAUCUACAAACAUUCAGCUAUAGAGAAAUACGCGUACACCACUAAGAAUGUCGGUGGUGCGCUCUCAAAGUAAAAAAAAUAACCUUUAAGUUCGGUACACUAAGAUAGAAUUGUCUAACAAGUACAAAAAAUAAACUACUUACUGGCUUACUUACUUCUUGCGGAAAAGGAAUUUUUGAUCUAUAAUACGAGUGGGUUAGGUAGUUGAAAUUUAUAGUGUGCAUUUUAUGGUUCCGUAGCCAAAAUGGCAAAAACCCUUACAGUUUCGUCGUUGUCUGUCCGUAUGUCACAGCUAUUUUACUCAAAAACUAUAAGAUAACCAAAAGAGAAAAGUGGAAAGUAGGUAUUUUUUAUACUACGUUGGUGGCCGGCCUGAAGGUAAGCUACUACUUAGUUUAGAAGUUCAAAUGUAUAAAAAUAUAAUUUUUAGGCACGCCAUACAUGUAACUAAAAGUGAAAAGGUUAUUCAAGUAAAAGAGUAUUAAGAUUUUUUUUAAGUAAGUGAGAUGGCAAAGGAGUCUUGCGUAGCCCGUCAUGCUAGCCCGAAAUGAUAUGAACGCUCUGACGUCGGGCUACAGCGGCGGCCUCAUAUUGAGAAAGUCGGGCGUAGCCCUUGUGCUAUGCGUGCUCUAAGGCCGAGGGUCCCCUCAUAACAAAUGAAUCGGGGGUAGCCUUACGUACCUAAGUAGCUUCCUCAUACUAAAAAGUCGUGCAGAAGAAGAUAACAAUAUAAUUUUUUCAAUAUGUCAAUUCCAGAUUUUCUGUGUUUUUUAAAUGUAUAGUAACAUGGCAGCAGUUUUCAUCUUUAGGGUUCCGUACCCAAACGGGACCCUAUUACUAAGACUCCGCUGUCCGUCCGUUCGUCCGUCCGUCCGUCUGUCACCAGGCUGUAUCUCAUGAACCGUGAUAGACAGUUGAAAUUUUCAAAGAUGACGUAUUUCUGUUGCCACUAUAACAACAUAGUAUUAUGUUCCUGCCGGUGAGUAAGGUUGCCAGAGCUCAACGAGGGGAAGGAGGGUUGUUAGGCUCGGCAACGCGCAUAUAAUUCCUCUGGAGUUGCAGGCGUACAUAGGCUAUGGAGACUGCUUACCAUCAGGUGGGCCGUAUGCUUGUUUGCCACCAACGUAGUAUAUAAAAAACCAAAUACUAAAAAAAUUACGGAAUCACGUUGGGCGAGUCCGACUCGCCCUUGUCCGGUUUUUGUAUUUAUUCGUAAGCUUGCAUUAAUUGCCAUGGCACUUUAGGCUUAGCUUGUAAGUACAGUCGAGGAAAUUGAUUCUUUAGCAGUUAACGUGUCACGUUACAAUGGACAGCUCUUACCAUAAGUAUGUACAGCCAAAUUUACUUGAACCGCAAGUUGCUAAAGAAUCAAUUUCCGCGACCGUACCUAUGCAAUUAUAUCUCUAUUAUGUGUUAUUAUAUAAUUACUUUUUUUAAGACCCUGGAUUUAUCUUAAGCGUAAACUAAUAACACACGAGAUAACAAUCAUUUCUCAAGAGCAUGUUCGUGAAUUGUACACUAAUUUACAGACUUUUUUGCUGAAGAGACGUCAAAUAUAUUUCUUUAUAAGUGUUUGUAAUUUGACUUGUAUGUAGGUUCUUAUAAACAUUAUACGGCGUGUAUUUUUGAUAUGACCAUUAUAAUUAAAGGGUAGUUAGUUUAGGCUGUAUGCUGUAUGCACACACUUUCAUAGGUUUUAUAAAAAAUGGUCUUCUUUUAAUUUUCCAUAUAAAAUCAUUCAGCAAGCAAUGUGUAACCAUUGUGUUUUAAAUCAAAAUGUAGCAUUUAAUGACGGGACGUCACAACUGUUACAAGUGACCAUGAUGUCCGAAUUUACGAAAUACAUUGCCGCUUGAAAACAUUACAAAAGUGAAUUAUGCACUGGUAGAGACUAAAUUAAAAAAAUCUUUCAGAAUUGUUGUAUAGCGCUAAAACCUACGUCUAGUUUAAAUUUGUGGUUGUAUCAAAAAUACGCAUUAUACCUAUGUAGGAGUUAUGAAGAUGCUAUAAUGCCGUAUAACUUUGAUACGUGUUUAAUAGACUCCUCUUUACUAUGAUCUAUAAAAGUAAAAAUUAAUAAGUAACUCUUUAUUUUGUCACUUUUUAUACAAGUUUGUACCAUGGUUGUAUUAUUGUACUACUUAUACGAAAUUUUUCUGUUUUACUGAAAAUGGUAGAUUUGUGUUUCCAUGCAAUUUUGCAGCUCGCUGUAGCACCUACAUGUAUAUACUAUGUAUAAACUUACGUUAUUCAUCAGCAGUAUCGGAGACAACAGAGUGCCUUCUAUUGGGCAUUCAUCAGCAUGUCGAGCACUGGACCUUUAUAGUUGAAAACAUAUUAUUUGCACCGAUAAAUGCUAUUUCUAAUGGCUCUUGUAAAAUAGGGUAAUAAAAUUUGCUUACUUGAGCUAAAUAAUGUUUACCGACUUACUUUUUUUCGUUUUAAUUUCUUAGUUUUCCUGGUUUACCAACUUUUCAAAUCAUAUUCUGGUAAAUUAAAUAAUAUAUUUAAACUCAAAAAGAUCCUGAAUGAAUAGUUAAAAAAAUAUUUGCAUAAUAAAUAACGUAUCUAUAUUAAUCUAGACACACAAAGUAUCAUAAUUAACUAUUCGUACUAUAUACUUUGCCGCUCUUUUAUCCCUUUGUAUUCGUAAAGAUACAGUUUUAUGACUAAUCAGUGCAAAUUAUAUUUCGUCAACUAUACCUUACCUAUUUUGUUUGUAACGGGUCACCAACAAUAAUUUUAUUCUAAUUAUACCUUUAGUAUUAUUUAUUAGUUUUCUACAUGAAAAAUGCAUUUUUCCGUAUACUCACUGAAUUAUUAAUAACACAUAUUGAAUGUUGUAUUUUUUGCUAAGCUAUAUUAGUAUUUCGGGCCUUGACUGAUGUCACAAAAUCGAAUACCAUUACUACGUCAUUAGAAGUCAAUACUCGUGUAUACGUUUGUGUGACAAAGACUAAUUAGCAGGAAAAGACAAAUGUGUAUUCCAUAUUGUAUCUAUUUAUAUACAUUACAUGUAUGUAUAGUAUUGUAUGAAAUAAGUAACUUUUUUGGGCGGAUUUUUAUUAUGUUGACAUUAUUUUCAAUUUUGUCAGAUAAACUGGUGUAUUAUAGGUGAUUCCCCCUCCUGUAUAAUAGAGACCUACGUGUACUAUGUCCUAAAAAUCUUUCUCUGAGUAACGAUAACGUAAUGGAAUUUUCGUAGCUAACUCAAUGGAAAUUCACAUAGGUACAUUUUUGUCCCAAAUUGAGAUUUCGUGUUUAUUUCAACCAGCAAGGCUCGAAACCGGUUUCCUUCGAAUUUUUAUAAGAACGCGAACGUUUUAAGAACUUUAUUGUAACCUGAAAAAACCAAUUUAAUCGACGAGCGACGAAACGACCGGCCGGCCUGUUGAUAUGCCACGUAAACAUAGACGCCGACAUAAGAAGAAGCCGGGUUUUUAUUGCUCUAAACCGGUUAAUUUGACAAGAACAGUUCUCAUAAAAACCGGUUUAAAAGAAACGGUUUUUCGAGCGCAAAAUGAAAAGGUUUUGCGCCAAGUAUGGUAUCAUAUACCAAGUAUGGUUUAGAAAUUUAACCGGUUUCCGAGCCUUGCCAACGAGAAUGAAGAGCUCAUCAAACCUAUCAAAAUCUAAAAAAAAACUUGACAAAAAAAAAAAAAACAAUUCAGCCCAUUUCCGUCCAUUCCGUCCAAAUUAUAAAAGUAUUCAAUUGGUACUUAAGGGGGGUCACGUAAGAAUUUUCAAGUUCAAGUCGUGACUGAAAAUAACCCACUUGUUGAAGAUGCGUCACGCCGCGUCUGGCAUUUCGUAAACAUCAACAUGCACAUCGUGCACGUCUGACGUCCGUCAUUUUUCUUUGAAAACCAAUGUCCUGGAUAUUUUCCUUAUUUAAAUGGUAUUAUUCUACGUUUAAGGUAAUUACGCAGUUGAAAUUAUUUGUUUAAUUCUCGGUUGCGAUUGGUCGUGGUUUGAAAAAAUUGUAGUGUACUUACUUAACUGUAAAAGAAUUACGAAUACAUAUAUGAACAAAAAAAAAAUUAAACAUUUGAGGAGAAUCUUACACAUAUCAACCCAGCCCCAAACUAAGCAAAGCUUGUGUACUAUAUGGGUACUAGGCGACUAUAAUACAUACUUAUAUAGAUAAGUACAUACUUAGAUACAUAGAAAACACCCAAAUAAAUCCCCUCACCAGGAUUUGAACCCGGGACCAUCGGCUUCAUGGGCAGGGUCACUACACUUACUACCCACAGGUCGGAAAAAUGUGUGCUUUAUAAAUGUGUAUUUUCGAUUUUUCAAGGAAAUUAAAUCGUAUAAAAGCUACCUAUUCAAUUAAGAAUAAUUUUAAUUUAUUAAACUACAAUGAAUUUAAGUUGCCGAUAAUAUUUUAAAUUUACUUUAAGUUGAUUUUCACUUUCAAAGUGUAACGUAAUGCUCGAGUUUUGAUACACAAAACGGUACAAGAGCAUAUUCAUGUCCAUAAGACAAAGUUUCCGAGUCAUUAUACAACAAAUAUUUUACGAAAAUUUGAAUCAUAUUGCUUCAUCGUAUCGUAUAAUCGCCUACAUUUCAAUUUAGGAACGACAAACGAGACUCCGCAAAGAAUCUGCAAUUCAAUUGCAAAGUGAGAUGUGGGAUUCCGAGUCGAGAAAUAAUUCCUGGCAGGAAGCUUGAUUGCUGCUGAGUCAUGACUGUCAUGCGAGUUCAUUUGAUCGCGGUACAUCGUUUAGUUUUUAACUUUUUAUACUCGUUUUCCUGACAAGGUUAUACUUACUCGUUUAAGAUAUACGCUUGCUUUUUAUGUCCCAGUCAUCCAAGACAACUACUAAAAUGACAGUUCUAUUAACCCGUGGAGCGCGUUAGUAUCACACGUGUGAUACUAACUCAUUUUCGGUCGUAGCGAUUCAUCUGACGUGUGUUACCACAGAUCAAUAUGGGUCCAAUUGCUUUGCAUCAAUUAGUUGUAUGUUGGUCGUUCAAUUUUAUCAAACAUCUUUUAUUGCAGCACAAAAUUGGAAUAAGGCUUAGAACGCACUGCCAUUAAUUUUUUGCGGUUUCAGUCUUAUUUCUUGGGCUUUCAGUCUUGCAAGUGCGUGCGUUUAUGAAGCAUGCCGUACGUUACACUUUUUGCGGUUCAAACCGCAAAAAAUUAAUCGCAGUGCGUUAUAAGCCUAAGAAGUGGGGGUUUGGUGAUAAAAUGGUCAUCGGGCAAUCGAAUUGUCGUUUUAGCAUUUAGGACAUACCUAAAACCAACUAUUUGAUCCAGUAGUUAAGACAAAAUAUGGAGGUGACAUUUUUAAGGGAUUUAAAUAUUCAAUUACAAUUUGCAGAUUUUAAUUUACUUAGUUGAAGCGACUAUAGUUCGUGCCAUUCACGAUGACGCGCAGAUUUGUUUAAUCUACCCUUUAAUACAAUGACAAUACGAAUCAAGGCACGCGGCGUCGAACGACACCAUCUAUACAAUGCUUUAUUAUAUUAAGUCCAUUUGGUUUAUUACAAACUUCGAUAACAAAAGGAAGUGAGACAUUAGUGUAAUAAAAACACAAUUAUUAUGUGAUAAAGUUUUCCUGGUCCAAUUUUAAGUUACUUAUAAAGAGUAAAUUCUACAUUAGCUGAUAUUUCUAUGAAAUACCGAGUACAGUCACGGUCUUUAAUUGCUGAGCUAAUUUACUGUAAGUAUUAAACAACCAAAUUAGCUAACGUGACCGUACCUAGAUAUUAUACGUUUAACUUGAAUCUUACAACGUAUAUAAUAUAUAAAUUAAUCUAUAUAUAAGUUUAUCUAUAUAUAGUUUUUUCAUAUAUAGUCUCGGUUACAAAUUCAUUUACUUAAAAGACACUGCACCUAUCUUUCUGGUUUAACCCAUUGGUUGACUGGUAGAGAAUGCCUUAAGGCAUUAAGUCCGCCAUUUGUACCUUCAUGUAUUGUGCAAUAAAGAUUAAAUAAAUAAAUAAAUAUAUCUUGGCUGACAAACGAAACAAUUGAAUGCAAAUUCGUCAUCCUUAUCAAUGCAAACAUAAUUUUGUAGCAUUUACUCGGUUUUGGUUCGGUGUAGUCAUUUCAAAGUCAACUCUCCGUGGUAAUUACAAACUAUGACUAAGUCACACAAUGUCAAGCAAUCUACUGAAAAGAAAAAUUAACAUAUAUUGCGUGCCUAUGUAUACCUGGUCUCAAGUCAAUCAUUUGAAAAUAUUAUCUUUUCAGGACAGCUUAUUUGCAAACCGGUGGUAGUUUUGACUUACAUAAAUGCAGUAUGGGAACGAUUUUAUCGAGUCAGAUUUCAAUGCGGAAAAGAAGAUAAAGAAAGAUAAAGGUAGUUUGUUUUUCAAGUAGGCAUAUUACAAUGCGCUUAUGAACGUCAAAUAAAGCUACACCGGCUCUAACCCUACACCUCUGACCCGAGAAGAUUUAAAUCCCUCCUAAAUUGAUGGAGGGUAUCCCAAUAUGGGACCGGCAAAAAACUCGGCAAAGGAGGAUGUUGUAGGUAUAAUUAUUUAUUAAUAAACAAAUAUUGUAGAGAAUAAAGAAGUGACAAAGUGUUUAAGAUUAUUAGAUUAAAAUGUGAAUUGACAAAUACAUAUGUAUUUACCACCUAAUGUAACAUGAAAUUUUUCAUAUGGAAUGGAACGUUUGGUAUAGUUUGUCAUCCACGAUGACGCGCAGAUAAUAUAACCUUUAAUAACAUGACAUUACGAAUCAUGGCAGGCGUCUUCGUGAAUGACACGAUAUAUAAAUUGUCAACUGUCGAUGUCGCGCAAGCGAGUACCUUACCCGUGAACUAUAUUGAUCAGGGGGCUUACCCCGAAAACCGAAAUCCGAAAUUCACAAAUUGCGGGAAUCUUUCUCUUUUACUCUCACUAAGACGUGAUUAGAGUGACAGAGAAAAAUGCGGUUAAGCCCAGAAAUCGUAUUAAUUCACAAGGUCGAAUUGGACACAAAUGAAAUCAGAAAUCACUUGUGGAUUUCUUAGUAGUAGUAAGUAAUUAUAGUGAUGGGUUGUGUGAUUGUUAUUAUUUACUGUUAAUUUUAUAUUUUCAAUUUACCUACAAUUAAGACAAAGUGUAUUUGUACCGUUUAGGUAUUAUUUUGUACUCUGAAUUAAAAUAGUUAUAUGAUAUGA